RNAcentral lists this ribosomal RNA (175 nucleotides) under uncultured bacterium. RNAcentral describes it as "partial 16S ribosomal RNA". It matches the Rfam family "Bacterial small subunit ribosomal RNA", at positions 118 to 291 of the family's 1533-position model. The record is from RNAcentral.
UGAGGAACAUGACCUUCGGCGGGGGAUAGCCGGCCCAACGGCCGGGUAAUACCGCGUACGACCACAUGGGGACAUCCCUGAGUGGUGAAAGCAGCAAUGCGCCGAUGGAGUGCCCCGCGGCCUAUCAGCUAGUUGGUGAGGUAACGGCUCACCAAGGCGACGACGGGUAGCUGGU